RNAcentral lists this ribosomal RNA (515 nucleotides) under uncultured bacterium. RNAcentral describes it as "bacterial SSU rRNA". It matches the Rfam family "Bacterial small subunit ribosomal RNA", at positions 994 to 1509 of the family's 1533-position model. The record is from RNAcentral.
AACUUGGCAGAGAUGCCUUGGUGCCUUCGGGAACGCUGAGACAGGUGCUGCAUGGCUGUCGUCAGCUCGUGUUGUGAAAUGUUGGGUUAAGUCCCGNAACGAGCGCAACCCUUAUCCUUUGUUGCCAGCGAUUCGGUCGGGAACUCAAAGGAGACUGCCGGUGAUAAACCGGAGGAAGGUGGGGAUGACGUCAAGUCAUCAUGGCCCUUACGAGUAGGGCUACACACGUGCUACAAUGGCGCAUACAAAGAGAAGCGACCUCGCGAGAGCAAGCGGACCUCAUAAAGUGCGUCGUAGUCCGGAUCGGAGUCUGCAACUCGACUCCGUGAAGUCGGAAUCGCUAGUAAUCGUGGAUCAGAAUGCCACGGUGAAUACGUUCCCGGGCCUUGUACACACCGCCCGUCACACCAUGGGAGUGGGUUGCAAAAGAAGUAGGUAGCUUAACCCUCGGGAGGGCGCUUACCACUUUGUGAUUCAUGACUGGGGUGAAGUCGUAACAAGGUAGGCGUAGCGAG